This 187-nucleotide non-coding RNA is filed under the name bovine gut metagenome. RNAcentral's name for it is "Lysine riboswitch". It matches the Rfam family "Lysine riboswitch aptamer". Rfam says of the family: Riboswitches are metabolite binding domains within certain messenger RNAs that serve as precision sensors for their corresponding targets. Allosteric rearrangement of mRNA structure is mediated by ligand binding, and this results in modulation of gene expression. RNAcentral also lists the same sequence under 1 other name. The record is from RNAcentral.
AAAGUAGAGGCGCGUGUAUCAUCAGUAACGGAUCGGACAGAUAAGGCUGAGCGAGGGUUUGCGAAAGGGAUACAUGCCGAAGAGAGAUAUCUCCUUAUAGAUGUCUUAUCUGGACGUAUAGUUAAUAGCUAUAUGGCUGUCACCGGAGAUAUAUCAUAAAUUUUAUUCUUAAGGUGGAGUGCUACGG